GACUCCAUGAAGUCGGAAUCGCUAGUAAUCGUAGAUCAGAAUGCUACGGUGAAUACGUUCCCGGGCCUUGUACACACCGCCCGUCACACCAUGGGAGUGGGUUGCAAAAGAAGUGGCUAGUUUAACCCUUCGGGGAGGACGGUCACCACUUUGUGAUUCAUGACUGGGGUGAAGUCGUAACAAGGUAACCCUAGGGGAACCUGGGGUUGGAUCACCUCCUUAUCUUGAAG
Molecule: ribosomal RNA, 230 nt
Filed under: Colwellia sp. C1TZA3
Lineage: Bacteria; Pseudomonadati; Pseudomonadota; Gammaproteobacteria; Alteromonadales; Colwelliaceae
Also listed under: 1 other name
Description: partial 16S ribosomal RNA
Rfam family: Bacterial small subunit ribosomal RNA
Source: RNAcentral